RNAcentral lists this long non-coding RNA (279 nucleotides) under Lathyrus oleraceus (garden pea). RNAcentral describes it as "Pisum sativum (pea) long non-coding RNA (PSAT_LNC003627)". The record is from RNAcentral. Lineage: Eukaryota; Viridiplantae; Streptophyta; Magnoliopsida; Fabales; Fabaceae.
GAGAGGAGCUUUAUGUGUCGUUGAUGGUUUAAAUUUUCGGAGGAAGGUCGUAGGUUUAUCGGCGGAAAUGAUAUGGUGGUUAGGGGGUGUUUGUUGCGAGGGUGAAGAGAAGAUGAGGAAUUGGGUGUGUCGCGGUGGAUACGGCAUUUUAGAAGGUUGUUGUAGUCGACCAGAGCUUGUUGUUUUGAGGGUUCGUUAGUGGCGGCGAAGAAGUUUGAGGAAGGUUAUGAGGUUGUGGAUUUUCGGUGGAUGCGGCGGAGAGGAGAAGACGACGAGGUG